AGCCAUGUGGGAUCCAGCCACCCUAACCACCACGCCACAGGCUGGCCCUCAUACUCAAACUCUAAUUCAGCUCCAUAUGCUUGAGAGUUUCCUCCCUUUUAUUUUUGCAAGUCCCUUCUCACAGAGUAAGAAAGCUGGAUCCCAGUCAUCAGUUGCCAUGACGUCUCCCCUCACCCUGUGUGGAGUCUGCAAUCCAGGUCAGAUACCUUGCAUGGUCCCACCUAAUGGCUUCAGUUUAAGUUGUUCAGCCAGAGGCAGGGGUAGGUCAGGUUAAAUGUUCUGUAUGUUUAUUUUCUUUUGAAUUUCUCUAAGGGUGAGAAUUAAAUAUCCUCAGAGGUUGUGUGUGAGUCCAGUAGGGGGACAGAUUAAUAUAAUGUGUUCAUUAGGUUUGAUACAAACCCUGUUCUGCAUGGAUUAAGAAAUCACCAUUUUCAGAAUUGUAGGAGAAUGACUCUUCCCUCCUCCUGGUCCCUGAAGGCUGGAGUUAGAAUUUUCUUUUAUUGGCUCAGGAAGUCUGACUGUUUGUGACCUCUUGAUCCUGAAGAAUAAACCAUGCUGAUGUGCAAUACUAUGUUUUUCCUUAAGAAAGAAAUUUUCUUGGAAGCACACAAAACUUGUUUUAAGAGUCUUAAUUCAGUGGGUGGCUAGACCCUGGAUUUCUGAGGGUUGAUCCCGGGAUGGGGAGGGAGAAGGAGGCAGUGAGGAAAAACACAGAAGAUGUGCCAAAGAAGAUAAGUCGAGAAGAGUUGGGAGGCUGGUGGUGUGUAAGACUGAAAUAAAUGGAAGCCAGAGUGGUCGUCACACUGCUCCGAAAACAUCUUUCCUUCUCUUCAAUGACCUGCAGCUGUUUUUUCCUGAUGCUGACCUUAAAGAUGGUGGUCAGAGGCAAAGUGCCCAAAGAUCUGAAAAUACUCCACCAAUUAGUGGUUUGUUUUUCCUGGGAAAAAAAUGUGAUAGUCUUAUAUUUUCCCAAUUCCAGUAAAACUCUUCUAUUUUCCCCCUUUAUAACUUCUUUCAUUUUGCUCAUCUUUAAAGAGAAAAAUAUUCUUUCUUGAUUGCGCUAACUAAAACCUCAUUCUCCCCUUCUAUUUAAAGCAAAUCUCAAUGCUAACUCCAGGGUCCAUCCUCUGUUCUCUCUUGAACACUCCCCAGUCAAACUUGGGUCCACAUUUGCUAUGAACAUGCUGUGGCCAGGAGCCAUGAGUUCCGCGUAACUCGGCAGCUCCUCUGCCGUCAGUCCCCACUUUACGCUAGGUCGUUUCCGCCAUGUUGGUACUUGUUCUUCACUUGGUUUUCAGGCACCAUCCUCUUUUUUCCCUCCUUCUGCCUCAUUUCUUCUUCCCAGUCUCCUAUGCUCCUCCUGCUCCUCUCUGGACCAUUUCUGGUGGACUGUCCCAGAGCCCGGGCUAUCCCUCCAUUCCCUUUUCAGCUAUACUCACUGUCUCCUGAUCUCCUCCAGGCCAUGGCUUUAAAUUCCAUCUCCACUUGGGAACUCUCAUGUUCAUGUCUCCAGCCUGGAGUUCUCCCGUGAACCACACACUUGUGUAUUUCACUAUAGCUGACCUCUUCAUUUGGAUCUCUAGUAGUCAUCUCAAACUCAACUAAUGCCUUCCUUGCAAAUAAACACUAAAUGCAACCAAGCAAAAUGCACUCCCCCUUCAGCUUUUUGGUUUUGUUUUUGUUCAUGUUGAAUCAGCUAAUAGCAACUCCACUUGCUCAUCCUAAAACCUUGGAGUUAUUCUUCUUUUCUUUUUCUUUCACUUGCCUCAGAUGCUCUAUAGCAAAUUCUGUUGACCCUGAUUUUGGUAAAUACCCAGAAUCCGACCUUAUUGUUCUAGCCCAAAUAGUUGUCAUCUCUCGCCUGGAUUUUUUGCAGUAGCCUCUUGACAGGUGUCCUGACUGUGCCCUUGACCCUUUAGUCUGUCCUCAGCGUAGUGGCCUGAGUGAUAGCAUGGCAUUCCUCUACUCACCUCAGUGCUCCUCAUCGCUCUCAGAGUAGAUGUCCUUUCGAGGGCCUGAAGACCCUCAGAGUCCCCAGCUCCCCAUGCCUAAUCUCUCUGGCUGGUCACCAGCCCACCCACUGCAGCCAAUGGAUUCAGCAUGCUCACCCUGGGCACGUGAUCUCCUCUGCCAAAAAAGCUGUUGCUCCCAAAUUAAACUGUACCUUCUCACAGCUUUCGCCUAUACCUGCCUUACUGUCUUACAUGUGCAGGGCACUUACAGCUCCCUGGCAUCCUGUUUAAUCAUUUUUAAGUCCCAGCUCUCCCCCCUACCUCAGCUCACCUCACGUGAGACACCAUGAGGUCAGGGCUUUUUGUACAGUCAUCACAGAAUCUGCAGCACCUUAGAACACUUAAAAUUCUUUUCAACACGCCAGGUGAGAUCUAAAUAAAUACUUGUCCUGAUCAAAAGGAAUAAUGUUCUGAUAUCAGAAAAGUGGAUUUUCAGUUUGUUUUCUCAUUCCUUAGGACAGAGGCUGACAACUUUUUCAAAUGUGCGAAUGGGAGAAUAAAUAAGGAUGAUUAUGUAUUUCUUAUAGAAGCAUAUCUAAAAUGUAGAUUAUCUCCCAGCAUGGACAUGGGAUCCUUCCUAAGCACCAGCGACUUCUCUGACUCCGUGCCUCAGUGAACUGACUGGGACGUUUAAGAAGAGGAAUGAAUCUGUAUCGGGAUACCUCAGACCCUCCAAAGAAAAAGAGAUCCUCUGAACAAAGGAGAGACUCCUAGGACAGAGAGACCUCAAAAGAAGAAGGCAGGUCCCCCACACCGCGGCCUAGGUGACUCCUCUCCUGCCCAGAGGCUGCUUUUGUGUUGGCAGAAGUUAGAGCUCCUGGGACAGUUCCAGAGCGUCAGUUCUGCCAAUCAGCGAGAGCUGAACGCUUCCCUUGGAGAGGCACCAGAGCAGUGCUCCAUGCUCUCCCAGAGCCUUCGCCGCUCUGGGGCACCUCAGAAGUUGCCAAGGAUGCUGCUGGCAGAUGGGGAGAUGGCAGCAUAUAGCCUUCAUUCCUUGGUCUGUGGUGGCACUGGCAGCUCCAGGAGAAAUGUAACUUAGGAGGAGAGCUGCGGCAUCGCCACAUCCAAGAACAGCCCUGGGAUACAAGGCCUUCCUGGGCUGUGUGAUGAUCUUUGCAGGGACGGUGGUGGAGGGCAAGGCCACCUGCACCAACUCCAGAGCUUCUACAACGUUCAGUUUCCUUAUUGAGACACCGCUGAGCUCCUCCGGGAUCACAGGCCUGUGGUCCAGGGAGUCUUACCACGGUGCUCAUGAAAGGAGAUGUCCAUGCUGAGAAUGGCAGACAUGCCUCUGGGGAAGAAGCUCAGGCUCCUAGAGCCAUUCAGCAUGGUCGAAAUCAAAGGAAGCAAAAACCUACACUGGAAUCUCCAGGGCACAGGGACAGUGGGGAGGCAGUGGUCCCAAAUGUACAGAGGAUGAAAGGAUGGAAGCUUCCGUUUUAGGAGAAGCAGGGUAGAGGAUCAGCCAACAUCUCUGCCAGCCUGCAUCCCUGGAAGCAAAGGAUGCAGGGAACAGAGUCCACCUGACUUAAUGUCCAUUGAAAUGUCCCGUCAGGUGCUGGAUUCUG
Tupaia belangeri chinensis (Chinese tree shrew) is the source of this 3580-nucleotide long non-coding RNA. RefSeq lists it as uncharacterized. NCBI's taxonomy places the organism in Eukaryota, Metazoa, Chordata, Mammalia, Scandentia, Tupaiidae. The transcript has 2 exons. The record is from RefSeq and is a predicted model, not a curated record.